This 473-nucleotide ribosomal RNA is filed under the name uncultured bacterium. Its description in RNAcentral is "bacterial SSU rRNA". It matches the Rfam family "Bacterial small subunit ribosomal RNA", at positions 335 to 799 of the family's 1533-position model. The record is from RNAcentral.
ACUCCUACGGGAGGCAGCAGUGGGGAAUAUUGCACAAUGGGCGCAAGCCUGAUGCAGCCAUGCCGCGUGUGUGAAGAAGGCCUUCGGGUUGUAAAGCACUUUCAGUUGUGAGGAAGGUGGUGUCGUUAAUAGCGGCAUCAUUUGACGUUAGCAACAGAAGAAGCACCGGCUAACUCCGUGCCAGCAGCCGCGGUAUACGGAGGGUGCGAGCGUUAAUCGGAAUUACUGGGCGUAAAGCGCAUGCAGGUGGUUUGUUAAGUCAGAUGUGAAAGCCCGGGGCUCAACCUCGGAACUGCAUUUGAAACUGGCAGACUAGAGUACUGUAGAGGGGGGUAGAAUUUCAGGUGUAGCGGUGAAAUGCGUAGAGAUCUGAAGGAAUACCGGUGGCAAGGCGGACCCCCUGGACAGAUACUGACACUCAGAUGCGAAAGCGUAGGGGAGCAAACAGGAUUAGAUACCCUGGUAGCACAGAG